GAUGAACGCUGGCGGCGUGCCUAAUACAUGCAAGUCGAGCGAACGGACGAGAAGCUUGCUUCUCUGAUGUUAGCGGCGGACGGGUGAGUAACACGUGGAUCACCUCCCUAUAAGACUGGGAUCACUUCGUGAAACCGGAGCUAAUACCGUAUAAUAUUUUGAACCGCAUGGUUCAAAAGUGAAAGACGGUCUUGCUGUCACUUAUAGAUGGAUCCGCGCUGCAUUAGCUAGUUGGUAAGGUAACGGCUUACCAAGGCGACGAUGCAUAGCCGACCUGAGAGGGUGAUCGGCCACACUGGAACUGAGACACGGUCCAGACUCCUACGGGAGGCAGCAGUAGGGAAUCUUCCGCAAUGGGCGAAAGCCUGACGGAGCAACGCCGCGUGAGUGAUGAAGGUCUUCGGAUCGUAAAACUCUGUUAUUAGGGAAGAACAUAUGUGUAAGUAACUGUGCACAUCUUGACGGUACCUAAUCAGAAAGCCACGGCUAACUACGUG
Molecule: ribosomal RNA, 497 nt
Filed under: uncultured bacterium
Lineage: Bacteria
Description: partial 16S ribosomal RNA
Rfam family: Bacterial small subunit ribosomal RNA
Source: RNAcentral